UUUCAGAUAUGAAACCGGAUUGACUCUAAAAUUAGCAACCUCGAUCUCACUCACCAUGGAGACCUGUGAAUCUCUGCAACACAGAGGGGAUGUCUGUGACGUCUUUGUGAAGGUGAGGAAAUGGAAGCACA
Long non-coding RNA from Talpa occidentalis (Iberian mole), 131 nucleotides. RefSeq lists it as uncharacterized. The transcript has 3 exons. The record is from RefSeq and is a predicted model, not a curated record. NCBI's taxonomy places the organism in Eukaryota, Metazoa, Chordata, Mammalia, Eulipotyphla, Talpidae.